This 419-nucleotide ribosomal RNA is filed under the name bacterium. RNAcentral's name for it is "partial 16S ribosomal RNA". It matches the Rfam family "Bacterial small subunit ribosomal RNA", at positions 355 to 776 of the family's 1533-position model. The record is from RNAcentral.
UGGGGGAUAUUGCACAAUGGGCGAAAGCCUGAUGCAGCGACGCCGCGUGGGGGAUGAAGGCCUUCGGGUUGUAAACUUCUUUUGCUCUGAACAAGGCAUGCUAAUGGGUGUGUUGAGUGUAGGGGUUGAUUAGCGCCGGCUAACUACGUGCCAGCAGCCGCGGUAAUACGUAGGGCGCGAGCGUUGUCCGGAAUUAUUGGGCGUAAAGGGCUUGUAGGUGGCUGGUUGCGUCUGUCGUGAAAGCUCAUGGCUUAACUGUGGGUUUACGGUGGGUACGGGCUGGCUUGAGUGCAGUAGGGGAGGCUGGAAUUCCUGGUGUAGCGGUGGAAUGCGCAGAUAUCAGGAGGAAUACCGGUGGCGAAGGCGGGUCUCUGGGCUGUUACUGACACUGAGGAGCGAAAGCAUGGGGAGCGAACAGG